Molecule: long non-coding RNA, 501 nt
Organism: Betta splendens (Siamese fighting fish)
Lineage: Eukaryota; Metazoa; Chordata; Actinopteri; Anabantiformes; Osphronemidae
Exons: 4
Source: RefSeq, a predicted model, not a curated record
AAAUACGUCCGGAAAUGGAUAUGAUACCUCAAGCAAAUAGCGACUACGAGCCUAUAUUCCGUAGGAAAAGCAACACAGCUGCAGCGGCGAAAGAGAAAGAAUUAGCUUGAAAGAAAAUAGAUGUCCGAGUCAAUGCCCAACAGAAAGAAGGCAGAGACUAGAACAACUGGUGGAGGACCUGCACCUCCACCACUGAGGCAUGCAGAGGAGAAGGCCCUCAGCAUGAACACUGGAAAGCAGAGGCUGAAGGAAUUCCUGGAGGGAGUUCAUCAGAACCAGUCACUCCCCAGGAUACAAGUGCAUUUGUAAAAUAUUCUGAUGGUAAUAUAUGAAUCCUCCUGUCACAACAGAAGCCCAGGAUGUUAGUGUGAAAGAACAGCAGGAGGACGUCAGUCACGUUCUGCUGCACAGAUGCACACAGUUCAGGUAUGUUCAAUAAACACCAGAGUUCAAUUCUGUAAGACUAAUGAGGAACUAUGUCUUGUAACUAUAAAUCUUCUG